AUAGCGUAUACGCGUGCUGCGGUUAAAAAGCUCGUAGUUGGAUCUCGGUUCCGGAUCGGUGGUGCAUCUUGCGGUGUUUACUGUCGGUCCGGGCGAUUUUGUUGGUUCGUGUAUAGUUCUCUUUACCGGGUGCUAUACGUGGCCAGCACGUUUACUUUGAAAAAAUUGGAGUGCUCAAAACAGGCGCUACAGCCUGAACAUUAGUGCAUGGAAUAAUGGAAUAGGAUCUCGGUUCUAUUUCGUUGGCUUUCGGAGUCGAGGUAAUGAUUAAUAGGAACAGACGGGGGCAUUCGUACUGCGACGUUAGAGGUGAAAUUCUUGGAUCGUCGCAAGACGAACUACUG
Molecule: ribosomal RNA, 344 nt
Filed under: Pogonognathellus heterochros
Lineage: Eukaryota; Metazoa; Arthropoda; Collembola; Entomobryomorpha; Tomoceridae
Description: bacterial SSU rRNA
Rfam family: Eukaryotic small subunit ribosomal RNA
Source: RNAcentral